UACAGAGGUCCCAAGCGUUGUUCGGAAUUAUUGGGCGUAAAGGGCGCGUAGGCGGUCGUGACAAGUCACUUGUGAAAUCUCCGGGCUUAACUCGGAACGGUCAAGUGAUACUGUCGGACUAGAGUACAGAAGGGGCAACUGGAAUUCUCGGUGUAGCGGUGAAAUGCGUAGAUAUCGAGAGGAACACCUGCGGCGAAGGCGGGUUGCUGGGCUGAUACUGACGCUGAGGGGCGAAAGCGUGGGGAGCAAACAGG
RNAcentral lists this ribosomal RNA (254 nucleotides) under uncultured bacterium. Its description in RNAcentral is "partial 16S ribosomal RNA". It matches the Rfam family "Bacterial small subunit ribosomal RNA", at positions 524 to 776 of the family's 1533-position model. The record is from RNAcentral.